RNAcentral lists this ribosomal RNA (253 nucleotides) under uncultured bacterium. RNAcentral describes it as "partial 16S ribosomal RNA". It matches the Rfam family "Bacterial small subunit ribosomal RNA", at positions 524 to 776 of the family's 1533-position model. The record is from RNAcentral.
UACGAAGGGUGCAAGCGUUAUUCGGAUUUAUUGGGUGUAAAGGGUGCGUAGACGGCAUGUUAAGUCCGCUGUUAAAUUUCCUAGCUUAACUAGGAGCCAGCGGUGGAUACUGAUGUGCUAGAGGAUGGAAGAGAGAAGUGGAAUUCCCGGAGUAGCGGUAAAAUGCGUAGAUAUUGGGAGGAACACCAGUGGCGAAGGCGGCUCACUGGACCGGUACUGACGCUGAGGCGCGAAAGCGUGGGGAGCAAACGGG